This 462-nucleotide ribosomal RNA is filed under the name uncultured bacterium. Its description in RNAcentral is "partial 16S ribosomal RNA". It matches the Rfam family "Bacterial small subunit ribosomal RNA", at positions 29 to 507 of the family's 1533-position model. The record is from RNAcentral.
AACAAACGCUGGCGGCGUGCCUAAUACAUGCAAGUCGAACGGGGAAAGCUUUCGGGUGAGUACUAGUGGCGCACGGGUGAGGAACGCGUGGAUAAUCUGCCUUAGAGUGGGGGAUAACUAGUCGAAAGAUUAGCUAAUACCGCAUAAGACCACGAGAGCUGCGGCUUUUGAGGUCAAAGGUUUUUCGCUCUAAGAUGAGUCCGCGUAAGAUUAGCUAGUUGGUGAGGUAACGGCUCACCAAGGCGACGAUCUUUAACUGGUCUGAGAGGAUGAUCAGUCACACUGGAACGGAGACACGGUCCAGACUCCUACGGGAGGCAGCAGUAGGGAAUAUUGCACAAUGGAGGAAACUCUGAUGCAGCGACGCCGCGUGAGUGAUGAAGGCCUUCGGGUCGUAAAGCUCUGUCGCAGGGGAAUAACACAAUGAAGGUACCCUGUAAGAAAGGAUCGGCUAACUUCGUG